CGCGUAGGCGGCCAUUCAAGUCAGGCGUGAAAGCCCCGGGCUCAACCUGGGAGGUGCGCUUGGGACUGAGUGGCUGGAGUUCGGGAGAGGAGCGUGGAAUUCCCAGUGUAGAGGUGAAAUUCGUAGAUAUUGGGAAGAACAUCGGUGGCGAAGGCGGCGCUCUGGACCGAGACUGACGCUGAGGCGCGAAGGCGUGGGGAGCAAACA
RNAcentral lists this ribosomal RNA (207 nucleotides) under uncultured bacterium. RNAcentral describes it as "partial 16S ribosomal RNA". It matches the Rfam family "Bacterial small subunit ribosomal RNA", at positions 568 to 774 of the family's 1533-position model. The record is from RNAcentral.